RNAcentral lists this long non-coding RNA (214 nucleotides) under Lathyrus oleraceus (garden pea). RNAcentral's name for it is "Pisum sativum (pea) long non-coding RNA (PSAT_LNC033053)". Lineage: Eukaryota; Viridiplantae; Streptophyta; Magnoliopsida; Fabales; Fabaceae. The record is from RNAcentral.
GAAGAUGAAGUUGGAAAAUGAAAGGAAAAAACCAAUUUGUUUAAGUUUUUGUUGAUUGUAUCAUGGUAUUUGUUCAUUGCUUACCAUAAAUGGUGGUGAUUGUCAUUUGAAUGUGUUUGUAUUGUUUUCCGUCCCUCUAAUAAGCACUAUUUACGGUCUUUGUUUCCUCCUGUAAUAUUUAUUUAAUGAAUGAAUAUGAAGUUUUGAAUUUGUA